RNAcentral lists this ribosomal RNA (468 nucleotides) under uncultured bacterium. Its description in RNAcentral is "partial 16S ribosomal RNA". It matches the Rfam family "Bacterial small subunit ribosomal RNA", at positions 28 to 507 of the family's 1533-position model. The record is from RNAcentral.
GACGAACGCUGGCGGCGUGCUUAACACAUGCAAGUCGAACGGAAAGGCCCUUCUUUUGUUGGGUGCUCGAGUGGCGAACGGGUGAGUAACACGUGAGUAACCUUCCCUUUACUUUUGGAUAACUUCAGGAAACUGGGGCUAAUACCGGAUAUGAGCUCCUGCUGCAUGGCGUGGGUUGGAAAGUUUCGGCGGUUGGGGAUUGACUCGCGGCUUAUAAGCUUGUUGGUGGGGUAGUGGCUUACCAAGGCUUUGACGGGUAGCCGGCCUGAGAGGGUGACCGGCCACAUUGGGACUGAGAUACGGCCCAGACUCCUCCGGGAGGCAGCAGUGGGGAAUAUUGCACAAUGGGCGGAAGCCUGAUGCAGCAACGCCGCGUGCGGGAUGACGGCCUUCGGGUUGUAAACCGCUUUCGCCUGUGACGAAGCGUGAGUGACGGUAAUGGGUAAAGAAGCACCGGCUAACUACGUG